This is a non-coding RNA of Macaca mulatta (Rhesus monkey), 673 nucleotides long. Lineage: Eukaryota; Metazoa; Chordata; Mammalia; Primates; Cercopithecidae. The record is from RefSeq and is a predicted model, not a curated record.
CUUGUGACGUAUAACCGGCAGCUGAGCUGGCAUUUUUGUGUCUGCAAGCUUCGGCCCGGCUGCCGCCGCCCAUAAGCUACCGGGAGGAGCUUUACGACUUCCCCGCCUGCAGGGCCGGGCGUAGCAAAGACCAGACGCGUCACGAGCAGGCGCUGCGCCCCAACCGGCCGGCUCCUGGCGGGCCCGUUGCGGAGAAGCUCCUCAAUGGCCAGCGGCAGCUGCAGCCUCCGCCGUGCACUCGUCUUACCUGAUCCCGGGAUGGUGAUUGCUCACGCCAAAGCCCUUGGACCCCUCCCGGCCUGUGACCUUUGUGACCAACUCCAACUAUGCAGCGGACAAAGGGGCUCCGUAUGUGGAUGUGAUCUGUGUGAACAGCUGCUACUCUUGAUAUCAUGACUACAGGCACCUGGAAUUGAUUCAGCUGCAGCUGGCCACCCAGUUUGAGAAGUGGUGAAGAUGUUUCAGAAACCCAUUAUUCAGAGCAAGUACAGAGCGGAAAUGAUUGCAGGGUUUCAUUAGGUAAGUGCUAUUGAACUUUCUGCUUAUGUGUUAUCUCGGGACAGAGAUGUCACUCGCCUCCCCCGGCCUGCCCUGCGCCCACUGCACUGUUCCCCUCUCUUCAGCUUUGGGCUCACCUCCCUCUGUCCCGUCCAUAUUCCCUUCCUGCCAGCAG